RNAcentral lists this ribosomal RNA (301 nucleotides) under uncultured bacterium. RNAcentral's name for it is "partial 16S ribosomal RNA". It matches the Rfam family "Bacterial small subunit ribosomal RNA", at positions 509 to 807 of the family's 1533-position model. The record is from RNAcentral.
CAGUCGCCGCGGGAAUACAGAGGGUGCGAGCGUUAAUCGGAUUUACUGGGCGUAAAGCGUGCGUAGGCGGCUUCUUAAGUCGGAUGUGAAAUCCCUGAGCUUAACUUAGGAAUUGCAUUCGAUACUGGGAAGCUAGAGUAUGGGAGAGGAUGGUAGAAUUCCAGGUGUAGCGGUGAAAUGCGUAGAGAUCUGGAGGAAUACCGAUGGCGAAGGCAGCCAUCUGGCCUAAUACUGACGCUGAGGUACGAAAGCAUGGGGAGCAAACAGGAUUAGAUUCCCCAGUAGUCCCUGUCUCUUAUAC